CCCUUAGAUGUUCUGGGCCGCACGCGCGCUACACUGAUGCAUUCAACGAGUUUUUCCUGGUCCGAGAGGAAUGGGUAACCUUUUGAAAGUGCAUCGUGCUAGGGAUAGACUAUUGCAAUUAUUGGUCUUCAACGAGGAAUUCCUAGUAGACGUAGUUCAUCAGACUGCAUCGAUUACGUCCCUGCCCUUUGUACACACCGCCCGUCGCUCCUACCGAUUGGAUGGUCCGGUGAAAUCUUCGGACCGGGCGAUAGUCAGCAAUGACCGUUGCCUGGAAAGUUGCUUAAACCUUACCAUUUAGAGGAAGGUGAAGUCGUAACA
RNAcentral lists this ribosomal RNA (321 nucleotides) under uncultured eukaryote. Its description in RNAcentral is "partial 18S ribosomal RNA". It matches the Rfam family "Eukaryotic small subunit ribosomal RNA", at positions 1470 to 1796 of the family's 1831-position model. The record is from RNAcentral.